RNAcentral lists this long non-coding RNA (219 nucleotides) under Phoenix dactylifera (date palm). RNAcentral describes it as "long non-coding RNA (PDAC_LNC006138)". Lineage: Eukaryota; Viridiplantae; Streptophyta; Magnoliopsida; Arecales; Arecaceae. The record is from RNAcentral.
GCCGGGGUCGACCCAAUCAACCUAUGGGUCGACUCAAUCCACACUUUGCUGCAUUCUCAAGGUUAGUUUCAUCCAAAUGAACAAGACCAUAUAUAUAUUUCCAAUUAAGCAAAUGUACUGAGAGCAAUGAACUUAUAAAUGAAGUAUCAAUUUUAACUCAUGCGGGGGAACUUUCAUGCUUAAAAGUGACCAUGAGGCAUGGCAAUUGUUUGAAAACCU